Non-coding RNA from Musa acuminata subsp. malaccensis (wild Malaysian banana), 1942 nucleotides. The record is from RefSeq and is a predicted model, not a curated record. Lineage: Eukaryota; Viridiplantae; Streptophyta; Magnoliopsida; Zingiberales; Musaceae.
UGAUCGAAAUGAGUAUUUAAGACAAAACAAAAACAAAAGGAAAUAUUAAAAGCAAAAAAAUGAAAACAAUUCCCACCACCCUCCGCUCCCCCACCCUCUCUUCAAAGCCACGCCCAAUUCCCCCAACCCAACCCGAACCAAAAGCCGCAGGCCUGUGAUGGACCCGAAGCAGCUGGCUGCUCUGGUCUCCUCCCUUGUGUCCCAAGCGCUUCUCCUCCUUUCCCUGCCCUUCCCCCACCCCAACCCUUGUGCCUCCGUCCCCAAUCGCAACAACCUCCCUCUAUUCCUCUUCUCCUCCCCACCCACGCCUCUCGCCCCUCUCCUCUCCCUUCUUCUCCACCUCCUCUCCUCCUCCUCCCACAUCGCCGCCUCCGUCCACUUCCUUCCCCACAAGCGCAAGCGCAAGCGCCACCAGCACCAACCGGAUCUACACGUCCCACGCCGCGGCCCCGACCACUUCCGGCUAUGCUUCCGCAUGACGUCCACCACCUUCGAGUGGCUCUCCGGUCUCCUCGAUCCCCUUCUCGACUGCCGCGACCCCGCUGGCUCUGCCCUCCGCCUUUCGGGCCCCACCCGCCUCGCCAUCGCUCUCUCUCGCCUUGCCUCCGGUGCUUCCUACCCUGACCUCGCCUACCGCUUCGGGGUGCCCGAGUCAGCCGCUCGCUUCUGCUCCAAGCAUCUCUGCCGCGUGCUCUGCACCAAUUUCCGUUUCUGGCUCACGUUUCCCUCUCCAUCUGACCUUACAACGGUUUCCGCCGGAUUCCAGGCAGUCGGCCAUGGCCUUCCCGACUGCUGCGGUGCCAUGGCCUGCACUCGCUUCGAGGCACGGGGCCAGUCUGUCGUCGCUGCACAGAUCGUGGCCGAUUCCUCAUCGAGGAUCAUACACAUUGCUGCUGGAUUUCGAGGGGAUCGCACAGAUUCCAGCGUUCUCAAGUGCUCAUCGCUUUAUAAGGAUGUGCAGGAGGGGCAAUUGCUGGGAGCAACACAGUACUUGGUUGGGGAUGGCCGCUACCCUCUGUUGCCUUGGUUGAUGGUCCCGUUUACUGAUCCAGUUCGUGGCUCCUGCGAAGAAGACUUCAAUGCCGUUCACCAGUCAAUGUGCCGGCCUGUGCUUCGGGUGGUUUGCAGCAUGAGGAAUUGGGGCGUGCUUAGUUCUUUAGGAGAAGAGGAGAAUUUUAAGGUGGCUGUGGCAUGCAUUGGCACUUGUGCUAUUCUUCACAAUGUGUUGCUGAUGAGGGAGGACUACUCUGCCCUAUCUGAUGUAAGCAAUGAGAACCAUAUGGGUUUAGAACACUAUGGGGAAGAUUUGGGAUUGGAGGACUUUUACUGUGAGAUGAAAGCUUCAACAUUGCGGAGCAUGUUGGCAGUGAGAGCGAGGGCAGCCCGAGAUUCGGGACAAAUUGGCAUUCCAUAAAUUACAAUUAGGACAGUUAUUGGACUGUUGAUGAAGAGGGAAGGUGUGGAUUAUGUUGAGAUUUUACAGUUAGAGUAGCUGAGCCUGUCCCAAGUUAAAGCUAUUCCCCAAGAGCCUUACUGCUGCCUACCUUCUUUGAAGUUCAACGUCAGCAAGAUAUUAUUAUUUUGAUCUCCAGUCUUGCCAUCAGAAAAGAUCAAACUUUCAACUGUAUUAGCUGUUAAUCCUAACUAGAGAAGAAGUCUUGUGAUGCCUUGUAUAGGAUGAGAAUAAACUUCGUUUUUCCAUCAUGAAAUAAACAAUAAGUUUUUUUUUAAAUGUUUGGCACAAAGGACUGAUUCUAUUUCAAUUGGAAAUCUCAGCAUAUAACUAAAUGCACAGAUCAAGUUAUUUUGAGUCCUUAUGUAUGUCUGUUUUCUGCUACUUGUUGAGAAGGAACUUCACAUGGAUAUUUUCUGUUAUCAUGAGUCUAUGAUAGAGAUAAUAAACUUGAAUAAGAAUGCUGGAGUGUUGUAAGUUCUUCUGCGU